UCUGAAUUUCCAAUUUAUUUUUUUUGGCUGGAUCCCACGUCUUCCUAGCAAUGUCACCGCCAAUACUUCAUGACUACAACAAUAUUCAACUGCAAUACUUACCAAUUAAAAGAAAAUAAAUUAGCCAAUUAUAUGUAAAUUAGAAAAAAAAUUUACAUUUUUUUGUUGAUUUUUGAGUGUUUCUUGAAUUUCUGUCAAAUGGGUAGCUAGGAAAAAAAAAAUAGCUAAUCAUAUGUACAUUAAGAAAAGAAUUACUACUUUUUUUUAUUUCUUGAAUUUCUGUCAAUCAUAUGUAAAUUAGGAAAAAAAUUGAUUUUUGUUUGUUUCUUGAAAUUCUGUUAAAUGUGUAGCUAGCAAAAAAAGUUUUGUGAUCUUGGUAAGUCCCAUUUUGUUGUUGUUGUUGAAAAUUUGAUUUGGGUGGUUGAAUUGGAGCUGUGGGGUUUCCAAAGAUUGUAUCUUUUUUGGGUUUGAGUUGUUUUAAAGGUGAAAGUUUGGAUAUUUUCAAGAAUGUGGAGGGACCCUGGAGCUCCUGCUGAUUCUUUUUACCAGGUUCGUCCUGAAUGUACAGAUGUACCGAAAACAAGAUUUAGAAUCAAGGCUGGGAAAACCUUAAGUGCAAGGAAAUGGCGUGCUGCAUUUACAUCAGAAGGUUAUCUUGACAUUGGCAAAACGUUAAGUCGAAUUUAUCGUGGGGGGAUUCAUCCAUCUAUUAGAGGUGAAGUUUGGGAAUUUUUAUUGGGUUGUUAUGAUCCAAAGAGCACAUUUGAAGAACGAGAACACAUAAGGCAGCGGAGGAGGGACCAGUAUGCCGUACUGAAAGAAGAAUGCCACACGAUAUUUCGCAUGAUCGGAAGUGGUAGUUUUAUUACUGCACCUAUAAUUACUGAAAAUGGCGAUCCUAUCCUAGAUCCUAUUACUCUCCAAGAGGCACAAGCAACAAAAGAAUUAAGUUCAGGUGGUCAACAAAACGGUAAUCCUGGAUGUGAAAUGGUAAAGGAGUACGACAAAAGAAUAAUCCAGUGGAAACUCUCGUUACACCAGAUAGGACUCGAUGUUGUUCGGACCGACAGGACACUUGUCUUUUAUGAGAAACAGGAGAAUCUAGCCAAGCUUUGGGAUAUUCUGUCUGGUUACGCUUGGUUUGACAAAGAUAUCAAUUAUUGUCAAGGAAUGAGUGAUCUCUGCUCUCCCAUGAUUAUUCUUCUUGAUGAUGAAGCCGAUGCAUUUUGGUGCUUUGAACGCCUAAUGAGGAGACUGAGAGGAAACUUCAGAUGCACCGAGAGGUCUGUCGGAGUAGAGGCGCAGCUGAGUAAUCUAGCUUCAGUAACACAAGUUAUUGAUCCUAAACUUCAUCAUCACUUAGAGACAUUAGGUGGAGGUGAUUACCUAUUUGCUAUCCGAAUGCUCAUGGUUUUGUUUCGUCGAGAAUUCUCUUUUGCUGAUUCGUUAUAUCUUUGGGAGAUGAUGUGGGCUUUGGAAUAUGAUCCCGACUUGUUUCUUAUGUACGAAGACCCUAACUUAGCUGCUGAAAAGUCUGAAGGAUCUAAAGGAAGAGCAAAAUCGACACGCCAGUGUGGGAAAUUUGAGAGAGAAAAUCUGAAAAAUGGAAGCAAAGGUGUCGAAGCUCCACUGCCAAUUUCCAUUUUCCUAGUAGCCAGUGUCCUCAAAGACAAGAGCACGAAGUUGCUGACAGAAGCUAAGGGACUGGACGACGUUGUUAAGGCAGGCAGUCAGUACCUGUCAUGUUGUGGCCGAUGGAUGGAAGAAAAUUCCUUCGAAUCUUACUUUAAUGAUCUGAAGGGGAGCCUUGGAGUAACUGGUAAAGUUGCUGCCAUGUGAUCAGGAGGUCACGGGUUCAAGCCUUGGAAACAGCCUCUGACAGAAAUGCAAGAUACUGAAUGACAUCACCGGAAACCUGGACGCCAAAAAGGCUUGCACUGGUGCAAUGAAACUUCACAAGAAAUAUCUUAAAAAGGCAGCCAAUGCCAACAGGUAACAAAAACAAAGCCAAAGCUGCGCGAUUCAUAAGCCAUGGAGCUCAUGUUAACCAACGCUUAUGACGGUACUUCCCUUGUUCUCUCCAAUGUGCUUGAUACUGCAACACUGUUGCCACAGGGUGAGAAUGCUAUCGCGAUUUGUUGAGACCCAUUUGUGAGAAAUCGACAUAAAUAGCUACUUCCAAGUAGUAGCUGGUAGUUGUAUAAUACAUGUAUUUUAGUUACCUUUGGAUCUGCUGUCUUGAUUUUCAAUAUCAUUUUCCACCUUGAUGGUGAAGGUAUUGGCAGUUGCAAUGGCCAACAAGCACAAAAAGAGAAAGUGAAAUUUUCCCCACAGAAAAAAAUGAAAUAUGUUUAUAUAUAUUAGUUAUUGCUGGUGCA
Capsicum annuum is the source of this 2378-nucleotide RNA transcript. It is a transcript of the gene named rab GTPase-activating protein 22, with no coding region annotated. The record is from RefSeq and is a predicted model, not a curated record. The transcript is spliced from 12 exons. Lineage: Eukaryota; Viridiplantae; Streptophyta; Magnoliopsida; Solanales; Solanaceae.